CUUCAACGCGUUGAAGCCUGGCGAAUCCAUAGAAGAUAGGCCGUAGGAUGGAGUUGAAGUCUGAUAGCACGCGUUUUGGGUUGUUGAUUUCGAUUAAGUUGUUUUUCUGUGUACAUUUUGUUGGGGACAGGUCAGUUCUGUUGUCUCUGUGGGUGACAUUUUCGGUGGGUGGCCGUAGCAAAGAAAACUUCGUGCUUUAAUGGAUGGCUAUGACCUUCUGUGACGAUUUGCUCAUGACAACUAAUCAGAAUGUCAUAAUGUUAUCCUAAUUUAUGACGUUUUCUAUGGGCUAGUAUGAUUUAGUGACGAAAAUAAGAUGUUCAUAACUAAGGCCACUCACAAAUCGUCAUAAAUUAUUGCAAUGCCAUAUUAGUGACGAAUGCUACUAUUUUUCCAUGACAUCUAGCAAGUGUCACAAAAUUUAUAAUAGAUUUACAUAGAUAUAUUAUGCUAAGUCUUAAUUUGAAUUUAUAUAGAAUUAAAACAAAUAAGUUGUAAAACAUGUGAAGCUAAAAUGGGAAAAAAGCAUCGAGAUUUGAACCAAGACCACACGGCUUACAUUCAAGUAACUUACCACUAAACCAAGUUUUUUUUUACUACAAGACAACUUAUAUCCAGUCUAUUAUAUAUAAAAAAUGAGUUGAUAUAUGUAAAAUAAUUAUUUUCGUGUGUUACUUUGUAAUAAUGGUGCCAAAAAAUGAAAAAGAAAAAACAUUAAACAGGCUGCCGCCGGAGAGGGAAAAAAUAUUCCCUUCUCACGCUCAACACAACCCAUUCGACCGACCCUAGCGCCGCCCCUACCUUCCCAUGGCCGGGCACCCCGGUUGGCUCCCUAGGCCGGGCACCGCUGCAGCCAGUUCAUGGCUUCCCAGGGCGCGGCGUCGCCGUCGUUGCCUAGCGGCUCCCCUGGGUCGGGCGCCGCCGCAGCCGGUUCACGGCUCCCCUGGGCAGGGCGCCGCUGCCCCCGUUGGUUCUCGGCUCCCUAGGUCGGGCGCUGCUUCAUCUCCACCAUGGCGCCAUCUUCGCUGCCGCUCCCCCCCUGACAGUCACCCCCAAGCGAUUGUGCCCCAUCCUUGAGGGUUUUUAUGAGCACCAGAGAAUCCACUCACUUCCUACCAGCUAACCCCGUGAAGAUGGAUUGGUUUGUGCCUAUUUUUUCCUUUGAUCUGUAAUGUAAUAUGCUUGCUUGUGUAAACAAUCAGACCAAAGAUCUUGGAUCUAUAAUCCUUUAGGUGAUUAUGGUAAUUUUUUAAUCUAAGAGUAUAUGUGGAUUUUCCCUUAAUAUAUGGAUGAAACCUAAAGUAAAUAAUUUUGGGGAUGCCAUGUGAACCACACUUAAAUUGGUUUGCCAUUGCCUUCUGUACAGGUUUGUGUUGCAGUGAACUAGCUAGAGACUGUUUGGUUUGUGGCCACAGUCCGCCAUGCCUCAACUUUGGCGCCGCCACAAAACAAAAGCUGUUGUUUGGUUCCUGAUACAGAUGUGGCAUGCCACAGUUUUUUCUCAAGAAGCUAGUUCAUUUUUUUCGCCACAGGUGUGGCGCCUAAAUUGGCCGCCUAAACUUCGGCGGCGCCACAGCCAUGGCGUGGCAAUCUAUGGCCUGCAACCAAACAGGCCUUAACUAUUCAAGACUAUCAGGAGGAAGAAUGCUUAAAUUUUACUUCUGAACUCUAUAGGAGGAGGAUUGAAUUAGCCUUCUAGUUUCAAGGAUUGGCUUGGCACAGACUUUGCAGUUGCCGAAGCUGUCAAUUUUGUAGUAGAAUCAGAGGUAGGGUUCAACAACUCUUUGAGAGAUAAUGGAUGACUAGCAAUGUGAGCUAGAAGACCUAAAGCUGAAGUUGCAAGGGAGAAUCAAUGGGGAGUGAUUGAAAGUUUGAAGAAGCAAGGAGAGGAAAGCAAUGCUCUUCUUCGCCGCUUGUUACGCCUCAACAGGGAGUAGGUCCUUGACUACUUCUAGGUUCAUGAUGUGGUCUAUUUGUUUUGCUACAUGUGGUUGGAUAGUUGGCUAUGAGUCCAUUAUCUUAGCUGUUCAGUGAACCUGUUAUGGAGUGACUUGUCUUUUUUGUGAUGUCGGGUUGUAACAGAUAUUUUGUGAAGUGACCUGUUGUUUGUUUUGAAAUAUGUUGUUCUAAAGUGAUAUCAGCCCAAAUCAAAUAAUAAGAUUGAAAAAAUAUGUUGAAUUAUGACUAA
This is a long non-coding RNA of Panicum virgatum (switchgrass), 2188 nucleotides long. RefSeq lists it as uncharacterized. The transcript has 3 exons. The record is from RefSeq and is a predicted model, not a curated record. Lineage: Eukaryota; Viridiplantae; Streptophyta; Magnoliopsida; Poales; Poaceae.